This 759-nucleotide long non-coding RNA is filed under the name Fukomys damarensis (Damara mole-rat). RNAcentral's name for it is "lncRNA (ENSFDAG00000030695.1)". The record is from RNAcentral. Lineage: Eukaryota; Metazoa; Chordata; Mammalia; Rodentia; Bathyergidae.
CGACACUGGCGACCCUGCCGAUGCGCGUCUGAGCCCUGCACACUGCUUCAGCCAUCGGCUUGGCCUCAUCAGAGUGUUUUUCCACAAAAUCGUUUGUUUGAUGGCAGAGUCACACGUUCUUCUAAGUAUCAGUGUGCUGGAACGGUGCUGCCACCCACCAUUAAAAUAGCAAUUUUCCUCCACUCCACUAACGGAAUAAGACGAAAACAGUGGCGGGGCUGACCCUCCCAAGUCACCCCUCUGCUCAGCAGGACCUGACCCGCAGCCCCCGCACCAGGUCAGCUCCUAGGAUCCCCUGCAGCGACGUGGCCCCCACACACCGUCCCCGCCCUGCACCGCCGAGACAGUGGCCAGGGGAGCGGGGCCUCAGCCACCUGUUAGGACAGUUUCGGUGAAAACAUGCGUUCAGGAGAGCCUGUCCCACUCCUCCGGCUGCGGGCUAAAUUGAUCUCGGCAGAGCUUAGCAACAUGGAGUAAUUAAUUAGGAACCAAGCCAUUUCCUGAGUACUCGGACAGAACAGUGACUCAAGCUCCGUGAUUCACUCGCACUGCCCAGGCUGUCUGUCUCCACAGAGUAUGUUCAUUUAUGUUUUCUGUGCUUUGAUGUUCUCUCCGCCUUCUCUUGAAGACAUAUUGGUUUGGAAAAGUGAUUUUUUUUUCUCUUUAGAGUUUUAAUUAUAACACAACCACAGCAAUCCCAUUAACCCCGAGUUUCACCUUGUCAAACACCUCCAGUGGCUUCGCAUCUUCAUAGAAAUG